AGAGAUGGCUGAGUGGUUGAAAGCACCGGUCUUGAAAACCGGCAAGGGUUAAUAGCCCUUCUAGGGUUCAAAUCCCUAUCUCUCCGCCA
This 89-nucleotide transfer RNA is filed under the name Salinivibrio proteolyticus. Its description in RNAcentral is "tRNA-Ser". It matches the Rfam family "tRNA". Rfam says of the family: Transfer RNA (tRNA) molecules are approximately 80 nucleotides in length. The record is from RNAcentral. RNAcentral also lists the same sequence under 2 other names. Lineage: Bacteria; Pseudomonadati; Pseudomonadota; Gammaproteobacteria; Vibrionales; Vibrionaceae.